GGAUGGUUUGUAGAUGUACAAAUAUAGACAACGUGCUACUGAUAAAUGAUGGAAGAGGGACUACGUUUUCCAAGUAGAUGGCAGGAAAUGCCUGUGUGGAACAGAUGGAAAAGAUAAGCUAUAAAGGGGAAUGGCAUUACUAUGACUAAGAAGGAGUUGAAUGUGGAUGCAGCAAGGAUACUAGAGGAUCAGAGGAACAUGUAUGAGAUUCAGAUGUGUAAGGAUCAUUAGAAUACGAUGAUUUAUUACAACACAAGAGCCAGUCUGCGGAAAAAACUCCACUCUCUGAAUGAGGCUUCUCUGAGCGGAAAGACUCACCAUUCAGCUCCUGGCCGGUGGCCAGGCGACUUGGCUUGAGGAUGAACUGGCACUGAAGCUCGCGGGGCAGCUGUUCCAUCAGGAAGGCCCCCUGAAGGUCCAGAGGGCAAACACUGUCCUUUGAUCCCUGCAUCUGCGGCAAAGUGUCACGAAUGUGGCUCAUUUUGAUUCCAAACGGAUACUCAUGUCCUGCUCAGAGAAAGAGGAAGACAGUUUGAUUUAUAAAAAGUAGAGGCUA
Molecule: long non-coding RNA, 556 nt
Organism: Anolis carolinensis (green anole)
Lineage: Eukaryota; Metazoa; Chordata; Lepidosauria; Squamata; Anolidae
Exons: 2
Source: RefSeq, a predicted model, not a curated record